Daphnia carinata is the source of this 377-nucleotide long non-coding RNA. RefSeq lists it as uncharacterized. Lineage: Eukaryota; Metazoa; Arthropoda; Branchiopoda; Diplostraca; Daphniidae. The record is from RefSeq and is a predicted model, not a curated record. The transcript is spliced from 3 exons.
GAUAAACUAGACUACCGGAGUUUCUUGGAGAACUGCGAGAAAAGAACGGAAUAAAAAGUUGGAAACUUUUUUGCUUCGUCUACUACCUGACUUUUAUAAACAUUUUCGUGAAACAUACAAGUAGACAAAAGAAAUAUGGUGGUGGAGUCGCACUAAAAUAAUACUUUCAAGGUGAGAAGAACAGUAACUGUGCACUUCUGCAGUGCGACAAGUAACCAGUUUCUGAAAAGAUUUAGCAUUGCAUCGUCCACGUGCACUUCAGCAGUACGACGGAUAACCAGUUUCUGAAAAGAUUUAGGUAACCAAAAUGCAUUACUGCAAUUCUUUGAUUCACUAAUUGUCUUUAUUUCAUAUUCUCCUUUGAAUCAAAUUACGCG